GACAGAUUAGUGCAUUAAAAAGGUGUUUUGCAGCAUCUUGAACAUGCUAGUGAAAGCCCAUUUCCAUUGGCUCCCUUUAUAGUUUUCCAGCUUCUGAAGCCUACCACAGACUCCUGUGAGCAGCCAUCCCUAUCUCCAAGGGUUGUUUGGUAAUGUUCUGUGUCUUUUUCCAGCACACACAAUCUCUUUUUGGGAGAUAGGUAAGCUUAUCUUCAAGAAAAGACCUGCAUUAGUAAGGUAAGAGAAGAUUGGAUUCUACUAUUGGAAUGAAGAUAAUUAAUAUUCAUCUCUGAAAGACAGAGGUGGAUGUGAGGAUGAUAAAACUGGUGUGCAAGACUGGAGAAACUGGUGCUGAAUAACUCAUGAAGAGAAUCCUGGGAUUUAGUAAUGACAUUGGGAAAUUUAAUUUCUUGCAUGAACCGUUCCCUGCAAACAGAGAAUAAGGUCCCAUCAAUUCCCCCUGGUAUGAGCACAAAGAAUAGCUCCCAGCAGUCUGUCACACUUGGGACAAAUGCAGGAUUAAUAUUGUGGUUUGUGUUGGCCUGUGCCAUGCCUUCCUCAUUGUCCCCUGAACCUCCAGGGGAUGGGAAUGUCUUAUUAAUUAAUUCUCUUAAUUCAAGCACCUGUGACUGAUUUAUACUCAGUCUAGGGUCUGAUCCUGCAGGGCAAGAGCUGACUUUGGUGAGGUGCACUGCUUUCCAAAUCCCCAGCAGAGGAAAAUUACUGGAUUUUAUGCUGAAACAGAAGCAGCGAGAGUAUUUGGAAAACCUCUGCUGGCUUUUCCCCAGCAUAGCUAAGGCAUGGCAUUUGUUACUCAUUGGUGCUACAGACUCACAACUCAGCCAAAAUUCACCUUCUAGGGAUGUAUAUAUGCUUGGUUUCAUCCAUGGGUGACAGCAUGAUCUGGAAGAAGAGGGGAGAAAAUGAAGUCAGGAGGAGAAGGGGAUUUGCUGUUCAAGGAGGCAGGGGAUGAAUCAUCCUUCUCACAGAGACGUGGUCUUUUGCCAAAGGCUUCAGCUGGUCCCCACCAGCUCUUUCAGCUUGGUGUGCUCUGUCCUCAGCUCUGCUGCAGUGGCCAGCCUGCUUCUAAUGCAGGAAACAGUUUGUCCUGGGAACAGUCCUAGCAAGGGCAUGCAUGCCCACAUCAAGGGCAGGCUGACAUUGUGGUCUCAUGGCUCUCUUUCAGGUGGUACCACAGCACGGGGUUAUACCUGGGAACGCAGUGGACACACAAACGGAGCCAGCAGCCAGGGUUUGGUGGUCCCUGGACAGAGAGCAGGAUUGCUCAGUGGUGUGUCCCAAGUGCUCCAAGCAGAAGUGAGCAGCUUUAAGGAAUGGUGGAAGUCUUAGCUAUCUGUGUACUGGGAAAAUGAAGCAUUUGGGUAAAUAUAAUAUAUGGCUUCUGUUGGAAAAGUUAUUCUCUCUGAGAAAUGCCUUAUAAGAGAGCUACAAUGCGAGGGGAAGCUCUAAACAUGUGUGCUCCCAGAUGUUUGGAGUGGAAAGGCAGAAAGCACCACUGAAAAGGCUGAAGACCCACCACUCAUGCCCUGAAGGCCACUGUUACCAUCUGAGUGACCACACUAUGCCAAGAAGAGCAAAGUACAGAAUUAAGGUAAGAAUGGAAAGAUUCCAUGACAUACAGAUUUUAUAGGCAGUGUCAUUCAGCAGGUCAAAUUUUAAUUAAGUCUUGGGUCGUGGCAUCUCAGCUAUUCAGUAUUUUAAAAUUUGCCAGAUCUUUCUGGGAGCACACAGCUGCAAAUCAUGCUGGUUUGUUCCUACUGU
Junco hyemalis (dark-eyed junco) is the source of this 1782-nucleotide long non-coding RNA. Lineage: Eukaryota; Metazoa; Chordata; Aves; Passeriformes; Passerellidae. The record is from Ensembl.